UGAGCAUGAAUGGGUGUGGUGGUGUGC
This 27-nucleotide non-coding RNA is filed under the name Rattus norvegicus (Norway rat). Lineage: Eukaryota; Metazoa; Chordata; Mammalia; Rodentia; Muridae. The record is from RNAcentral.